UACGUAGGGGGCAAGCGUUGUCCGGAUUUACUGGGCGUAAAGCGCGUGUAGGUGGGAGCGCAAGUCGGACGUGAAAGGCUGGGGCUCAACUCCAGGAGGCCGUUCGAAACUGCCCUUCUUGAGGGUCGGAGAGGAGGGUGGAAUUCCUGGUGUAGCGGUGAAAUGCGUGGAUAUCAGGAGGAACACCGGUGGCGAAGGCGGCCCUCUGGACGGAUACUGACGCUGAGACGCGAAAGCGUGGGGAGCAAAC
RNAcentral lists this ribosomal RNA (250 nucleotides) under uncultured bacterium. Its description in RNAcentral is "partial 16S ribosomal RNA". It matches the Rfam family "Bacterial small subunit ribosomal RNA", at positions 524 to 773 of the family's 1533-position model. The record is from RNAcentral.